UGGGGAAUAUUGCACAAUGGGGGAAACCCUGAUGCAGCGACGCCGCGUGAGCGAAGAAGUAUUUCGGUAUGUAAAGCUCUAUCAGCAGGGAAGAAAAUGACAGUACCUGACUAAGAAGCCCCGGCUAACUACGUGCC
Molecule: ribosomal RNA, 137 nt
Filed under: uncultured bacterium
Lineage: Bacteria
Description: partial 16S ribosomal RNA
Rfam family: Bacterial small subunit ribosomal RNA
Source: RNAcentral